AUUGAACGCUGGCGGCAUGCCUUACACAUGCAAGUCGAACGGCAGCACGGGAGCAAUCCUGGUGGCGAGUGGCGAACGGGUGAGUAAUAUAUCGGAACGUGCCCAGUCGUGGGGGAUAACGUAGCGAAAGCUACGCUAAUACCGCAUACGAUCUAUGGAUGAAAGCGGGGGAUCGCAAGACCGCGCGCGAUUGGAGCGGCCGAUAUCAGAUUAGGUAGUUGGUGAGGUAAAGGCUCACCAAGCCGACGAUCUGUAGCUGGUCUGAGAGGACGACCAGCCACACUGGAACUGAGGCACGGUCCAGACUCCGACGGGAGGCAGCAGUGGGGAAUUUUGGACAAUGGGCGCAAGCCUGAUCCAGCAAUGCCGCGUGCAGGAUGAAGGCCUUCGGGUUGUAAACUGCUUUUGUACGGAACGAAACGGUGAGCUCUAAUACAGUUUGCUAAUGACGGUACCGUAAGAAUAAGCGCCGGCUAACUACGUGCCAGCAGCCGCUGUAA
This 500-nucleotide ribosomal RNA is filed under the name uncultured bacterium. Its description in RNAcentral is "partial 16S ribosomal RNA". It matches the Rfam family "Bacterial small subunit ribosomal RNA", at positions 30 to 523 of the family's 1533-position model. The record is from RNAcentral.